This 357-nucleotide ribosomal RNA is filed under the name bacterium enrichment culture DGGE band 61_2_F_L. RNAcentral describes it as "bacterial SSU rRNA". It matches the Rfam family "Bacterial small subunit ribosomal RNA", at positions 501 to 858 of the family's 1533-position model. The record is from RNAcentral.
UUUUGUGUCAGCAGCCGCGGUAAUACGUAGGGGGCGAGCGUUACCCGGAUUCACUGGGCGUAAAGGGGGCGUAGGCGACUCAGUGUGUCGGGUGUGAAAUCCCACGGCUCAACCGUGGAAUUGCGCCCGAAACUACUGGGUUUGGGGCUGGUAGAGGGAGAUGGAACUGCUGGUGUAGGGGUGAAAUCCGUAGAUAUCAGCAGGAACGCCGGUGGGGAAGCCGGUCUCCUGGGCCAUGCCCGACGCUGAGGCCCGAAAGCUAGGGGAGCAAACCGGAUUAGAUACCCGGGUAGUCCUAGCCGUAAACGAUGCUCACUAGGUGUGGGGGAGUCAUUCCUCCGUGCUGCACGUUAACGC